GUAGGGCCGAGCGGAUCGACCCGCCUCUUCCAGAGAGACCUUUCGAUACCCCGCUGCGGCGCUGCCUCAUCCAAUGCGCCGUCAUCCACCGCCGCGCACAAGGUGAUGGAGCCGUCCCCUCAGCUGGUGACGUGAUCCGAGCGGAGCAGCAAGGGCUUCGUAGAGCCGUCCCCUGCAGUGAAUAAAGAGAGUAGGAACAGCAAGAGCUCCGUGGAUGACGGCAAGCUCACAGCCAGCGGCGACGAGGAUCCCGCUCACCUGGAUGCGCUGAUGAUCUACCUGUUGUUCCCCAUUCAUGCUAGUUUCUGCUUGUGAAAUCCCUAGAUGUCAUGCCCUUGGAGAUUCUAAACUUUUCCAUCUUGGUAGAUUAGAUGUCCUAACCAAUCUAAUUGAGCCCGGCGAUAAAGAGGAGUGGUGGAAGGGGGGAGGAAGAUGGAGGUGCCUCACUUGCUAAUGUCUGGGCAUUUUUUAGUUUCAGAAAAUGAAUAACUAGUUGGGAAAAUGAAUGGUCCACAAGGUUGCGGUCUUUUGUCUACCAGGAUCAUCCAUUGGCCCUAUUCAUGAUUCAUCAGAGGUGUCUUAGGUCUACCAGAAUCAUCCAUUGAGCUAAUUCUGUACUUCAUUAUUGCAUAUGUUUUAUGGCAUGAUACAGUGUUAGUCCUUCCAGCAUGUUUUUAGCCUGACGU
Phragmites australis (common reed) is the source of this 686-nucleotide long non-coding RNA. RefSeq lists it as uncharacterized. The record is from RefSeq and is a predicted model, not a curated record. Lineage: Eukaryota; Viridiplantae; Streptophyta; Magnoliopsida; Poales; Poaceae. The transcript is spliced from 2 exons.